This 521-nucleotide ribosomal RNA is filed under the name uncultured Bacillaceae bacterium. Its description in RNAcentral is "bacterial SSU rRNA". It matches the Rfam family "Bacterial small subunit ribosomal RNA", at positions 396 to 909 of the family's 1533-position model. The record is from RNAcentral. Lineage: Bacteria; Bacillati; Bacillota; Bacilli; Caryophanales; Bacillaceae.
GCCGCGUGAGUGAUGAAGGCUUUCGGGUCGUAAAACUCUGUUGUUAGGGAAGAAAAGUACGAUAGUGGCUGCUCGUACCUUGACGGUACCUAACCAGAAAGCCACGGCUAACUACGUGCCAGCAGCCGCGGUAAUACGUAGGUGGCGUGCGUUAUCCGGAAUUAUUGGGCGUAAAGCGCGCGCAGGCGGUUUCUUAAGUCUGAUGUGAAAGCCCACGGCUCAACCGAGGAGGGUCAUUGGAAACUGGGGAACUUGAGUGCAGAAGAGAAGAGCGGAAUUCCACGUGUAGCGGUGAAAUGCGUAGAGAUGUGGAGGAACACCAGUGGCGAAGGCGGCUUUUUGGACUGUAACUGACGCUGAGGCGCGAAAGCGUGGGGAGCAAACAGGAUUAGAUACCCUGGUAGUCCACGCCGUAAACGAUGAGUGCUAAGUGUUAGAGGGUUUCCGCCCUUUAGUGCUGCAGCUAACGCGUUAAGCACUCCGCCUGGGGAGUACGGUCGCAAGACUGAAACUCAAAGGAA